RNAcentral lists this ribosomal RNA (318 nucleotides) under marine sediment metagenome. RNAcentral's name for it is "SSU rRNA". It matches the Rfam family "Bacterial small subunit ribosomal RNA", at positions 741 to 1052 of the family's 1533-position model. The record is from RNAcentral.
UGACGCUGAGGCGCGAAAGCUAGGGGAGCAAACGGGAUUAGAUACCCCGGUAGUCCUAGCCGUAAACGAUGCUCACUAGGUGUUGCCGGCAUCGACCCCGGCAGUGCUGUUUUGCUAACGCGUUAAGUGAGCCGCCUGGGGAGUACGGCCGCAAGGUUGAAACUCAAAGGAAUUGACGGGGGCCCGCACAAGCGGUGGAGCAUGUGGGUUAAUUGGAUGCUACGCCAAGAACCUUACCAGGGCUUGACAUGUUCCCGACUGCGUGAGAGAUCACGCCUUCUGCGCAAGCAGACGGGAUCACAGGUGGUGCAUGGCUGU